AGAGGGUGAGAAGCGCUGGGCCGGACCAGAACUGUCUUAGCUUUUCCCUCUGCGGCUGCUCUGGUUGGUUACUUUGAGCCUGCCUCCUCAGCGCCGCAGGAGAGACUUAACAGCAAAAAUGACUGUGUCCUGAGUUCAGCCCCCACUGCUCUGGGAGCUUCCCCCUGGUUUCUGCACCUGAAGAAUGUCAUCCCAGCCGAAGGUUCUUAGGAGCGGGGAGCGACAAAGAAAAACAAAGAAAAGCAGACCUGAAAAUUGGGACCUGGGAGAAAUGUAAGACAUGUGCUUAAUUUGAGGCACAGACCAAAAGAAGCUGAGUCUGAGGGCCCUCUAAAAGUGUCCUCGUGCUUGGGCAGCUUACAUUCUUGGCGGCAGUAGUGUUAUGAAGAGGACCUUCGGAGCCAGGUCUGUCCAUUCUUAGGGCUCCAGCCACUGGCUGAGGCAUCAAGACGAGUGCUCUAAACCAGUAUCAUGGCUCCAGUUCCUCUGACAAGGAUUCACAUGGGAUCCCGAACCACUCAAAAGGACAAAACAAGGAAAUAGCAAUGAAAUUGGAUUCAGUGAAUGGGGUAAGGGUAUUAAGUGUCUGAAAUAUAAGAGAUAAAAAAAUUAGUUUUUACCUUUUUUUCUAUUUUCUAAAUGUUUUGGUGGCUAGAAUAAGAUAUACUUUGAACUCAAGAGCAAUAAAUGUUAAUAUAUUAAAAGUAGCUUUAUGAAAUAUGGAAAGUAUCUUUAUUUC
This 739-nucleotide long non-coding RNA is filed under the name Homo sapiens (human). RNAcentral describes it as "non-protein coding NCK1-DT:31". Lineage: Eukaryota; Metazoa; Chordata; Mammalia; Primates; Hominidae. The record is from RNAcentral.